RNAcentral lists this transfer RNA (81 nucleotides) under Atopobium sp. Its description in RNAcentral is "tRNA-Tyr". It matches the Rfam family "tRNA". From Rfam's summary of the family: Transfer RNA (tRNA) molecules are approximately 80 nucleotides in length. Their secondary structure includes four short double-helical elements and three loops (D, anti-codon, and T loops). Lineage: Bacteria; Bacillati; Actinomycetota; Coriobacteriia; Coriobacteriales; Atopobiaceae. The record is from RNAcentral.
GGGUAGCGAAGAGGCUAAACGCGGCGGACUGUAAAUCCGCUCCUUAUUGGUUCCUUGGUUCGAGUCCAAGUAUCCCCACCA